UCCGACAUCGACAUCGCGGAUCCAAACGAACGAAGAUCAGAGAGCCAAAUCCAGAAGAGAAAAGGCGAGAAAGUUAGAGGGGAGAGUGUCUUCUCUAGAGAGAGUUUUCUGGAGCAAGAAAGGAGGAGAGAAAUGAUCGGAGGAAAGGUCGUUAUGGUUGUGGUGGGAACGUUCUUCUCGAUGAAUAUUUUUAUUUUUUGAAUGUAAAAUAGAACGGGAAUUUCGCUUUCGUUUCGGUGGGAACGCCGCCAGAAUGGUGCACCAAAUGCGUCGUCGUUUUGUCUCUUUAAAUGCUUGAAAUUACGGUUCCAUCCUUUCUUGUUUUUCAACUGUCGGCCCCUGAUAUUUGGGGUUAUCUCAUACGGCCCCCCUAUAUUUUGAAGUGUUCGACUUUUAACCCUCGAAGGGGCUUCGAUCCUGGUGUUGGUGCCAAGACGUGACCGCCUCUCAACUCUCACGUUGAUUUAUCUAUUGGAGAUUUUCUACAAAAAUGGGCUACUUGAAGGACAAUUUUUCUUUAGCUUCCAACUUCUUUAUUUACUUAUUUUUAAUGAAGACACAAUUUUUCCAACCAUUUUUAAUACUUGAAUUAAGUUUGAAUUAAAUUUUUGUUGAAUUCAAGUUUUAAAAAAUAAGGUUAAAUUAAAUUUAUAUUAACUACCCCAAAUUAAAACUUAAGUUAAAUUAUAUUUGACUAGAUUAUUUCUUAAUUUGAAUUUAACCCAAUUUAUAAUUCGAUCUAAUCCAUCUAAAUUACAGUCAGUCUUAAAAUGACAGUUUCAAUUACUUAAAAUGACUGCUUCAAUUUUAUUUUAUUUUUAAAAAAAAUGAAUCUAUGUUGGAGUUGUUCUUUCUUUAAUAAUAACUUCUAUUUUUAAAAGAGGUUGUUACUUGAAGAGAAAAUUUUACUAAAAAUAAAAUAUAAAAUAAACUUAAUUUUUAGUCUAAGUGUAAUUUGAAGGAAUAAUUUCAAUGUAAAAGAAAUUAAUAAAUUUGUAGCACUAGCCCAUAAAAUGACAGUGUUUGAGAAAGAAAUAGGCAAGUAAUGUAACAAUAAGAAACUAUGUAUGAAUUAUGAUAUUUGAGUGGACUUGAAGCUAUCUUGGCCGUCGAGAUAUUAGUUCAAUCAACAUCAUGUUGGCUCCUUAAAUCACAUAUUUGUAAGCUAGACCUGAUAUCACAUGGCCAAGGAAUGCCCCAGGAAGCUCAAACUAUGUCACUCAACUACAUGUAAAUGUAUUAAGGGUGAGAUAGGGCUCAAGCCCAAAUACAAUUAAAAUCACGCAAUUAUCAUAUUAUUAUAUAAUUUUUAAUAAUAUACUUUGCAUUUUAUUGAAAUAUUAAACAAAAUAUUACAUUUUUUUCUAUUCCAAAAUUAUACAUAUAUAUAUACAUAUAUACAUGUAUAUAUAUAUAUAUAUAUAUAUAUAUAACCAGUUAGACGUGACUAGCUUGGGAUAUCACAUGGGUGAGUCAAACGGUUUAACCCAAGUAGCUUGACUGGUUCAUUGAAAUCAAUUUAAUAACGUUAAACAAGUAAAGAGUGAGUUUGAUAAUGAUUUUAGAAAAUAUUUCUAUUUUUUUUAACACUUAAAAUUUUUUAUCUUUUAAAUAUAAAAAUAAAAAAUAAAAAUUAGAAACACUUCCUAUAAUCACUACCAAACACACUCGAAAUAGCAAUGGAAAACACAACCCCAAAUGUAAUGUUCAAACUGACAGUUCUAUUUAUUAAGAGCUUAUUGUCACAAGAUGUUUCAGUAAGACUGACUUAGCAAGAUAAGUGUCUUGAUUUGUCUAAGUGUUGCACAGAAGAGACUAAAUCCGUGAUAUUGUGCCAAACAUGAACUAGAGAAACCCCUUCUCUUUGCAGCAUUGAAUUGCUUCAUCAAACAUCUCAUCCAGCCCAUACUUAUACUUGAACCCAGUAUCCAAUAGCUUCUUUGACGAGACGCCAGGUGUUCCAUACCCUUGAACCUCCUUCAAAGAACUGCAAAACAAAAAAAACAAAAAAGCAAUUGAAUAUUUUGCCUUUUCAGAUCAACAGAUAUGAAGCCAAAAAACAUGGAGCAAUUAUUAAGAAAGGAUUAAAAUGGAACAGAACUCACUCUAUUGUGGGUAUUGGAAGUUGUGGGUACUUGGCAGAAAGAAACUCAGACAUCUCAUUCAGUGUCAGUCUGUCUGAUGAACAAAUAUAUCUGCCUUUUGCAUCUGGGUAUUCCAGAAGAAAGAUGUGUGCACUGCAUACAUCAUCCACGUGCACCAUUGACACGCUCAUAAGAAAAUGAUAAUGUUGCUGGUCACCUGUAUAUGUCAAGAAAAUUAUGAAGAAGGUAGUUUCAAGUGUGGACUUGGUUGACCCAGGCCUAAAAUGAGAAGAAAGUGCGAAUAUAUAUCACAUGAUUCAAUUAGAAUAUAUGUGUCUUCACAAAGUGAAGCAACAUACCUAAGACCAGAGCCAGUGCGGCGUUCACCGAUCCAGGGAACCGGGGACAAAUGAAGGGGCCCACAACAAAAGAAGGAAUCACAGUCACCAGGUCCAAUCCAUGCUCAUGUGCAAAAUCAAGAGCUGCCCUUUCGGUCAUUGUCUUGGAAAUCAUGUAUGAUAGGCCCCAAUAGUUGAGAGCCUUGAGGAAAUCUACAUCACUCCAUGAACUCUCAUCCUUUAUGUCUCCACCCUUGUCAUUGUACUCAACAGCAGAUGUACUAGAAGUAUACACAACUCGCUUCACCGUCUUUGAAUUCAGACACGCCUUUAAAAUGCCUAAAGUGCCUUCCACCGAUCUUUUGGUCACAGUUUCCUCUGGUUCUGUGUCUUCAAAAUCUAUGGGAUGAGCAACAUGGAAAACUCCGAUACAUCCUUCAAUGGCUGCUUCAAAACUGCUGGGAUCACUCAGAUCUGCGUUGUAGAUUCGGAGCUUUUCCGAUGCUCCCGGAAGGUUUGUCAGGUAGCUAACGUCUUUCUUGCUCUCUGAUCAUGUGGAAAUUUUUGCAAUUUCUAGAGUUAGCUUCUUUGCUAAAAAAGCCCUAAAAAAAACCAGAAUGGCAAAACAUUUCGUACUCCAAAACACGAUUAAUAAUUUUAUUAGUUUCGAAAAACUAAACUUAAAAAAAAUGAGGAAAAAAAAAAAAAAAGAUUAUAAAAUUCAAAAAAUUUGCAUACGAGGGUGAGAUCGAAUGGUAGCAUUAACAGAGUAACCGUGUUGCAGAAGCUUCAUGACGAGCCAUGAGGCUAUGAACCCUGUCCCACCUGUUACACACACUCUGCCUUUCUCGCCUUCCAUUUCUUCUCUCUCUCUUCUCUUUGUUUCUCUGUCUCUGUGUGUCCCCUCUCUUGAUUUCUUUCUCUCCCUUUCUCUAGUAGGUUGCAUAUCAAUCUACAUACUUUGUCCCUCUUGAGUCUUGAUUUCUUUCUCUCGCUUUCUGUGUUAGGUUGCAUGUCAAUUCAGUCCCAUAUAAUCUAUUUAAUAAAAAGGAUGAUAUUCUUAAAUAUACAACUGGGGAGAGCGGGACAAGAGACUACCAUCGAGACUACCAGGCACACCACAACCAACAGGCAAGACAAACGAGACUUGGGAAAGCUGGCAACCCAAUCGGGAGACAGAGUCUCGUUAAAUAAUAGAUUUCUUUCCUCCUAUUCCUUUUUUUCUAGCAAGAUGACAUCAUUACUUACAUGCUCCUGAGAUUAAAUUAAAGAGUAUCGGGUCAAAAUGGGUCAUUUAUUAAAAAAAAAAAAAAAAAAACAACCAAUUUUUCAAAGUUACGAUCAAAUUCGUCUCUUUGUAUUCAAAUUCAUCUCUUUGUCAUAGGCAUCAUGUCAUUAAAUUAUUUUUUUUUUCAUCAUUUUAGUUAAAAUAUCAAUUGAUAGCUGAAACUUCAUUUUUAAACUAAAACCGUAAUUGAUAAUAAGACUUCAUUUUUUAACUAAAGCCUCAAUUGAUAACUGAGACUUUAGUUAAUUAUUUUUUAAAAUUAAAAAUUAUUAAAUUAUAAUUUAUUAUUGAAAAUUUAAAAAUAUAUUUAAAUAAUAAUUAUUUAUAUUUAAACUUAAGAAUCUAGUAUUAUUUUAACAAACAUAAAUUGAUAAAUAAAAAAAAUUAUAACUGAAUAUUUUAUUUAUUAAUAAUCUUAAAAUAAUAAAUUUAUAUAACAUAUAAAUAAUUUAUAAAAUAAAAAUGAAGUGAUUUUAAGUAAAAUGAUGAUUUUUUUUUUUUUUUAAUGAUAUGGCGCCUACGUGACACCAAAAAUGCUAAUUUAAACACAAGUUUCAAAAAGGCUAAUUUAAACACAAGUUUCAAAAAGUGGUUGGAUGUUAUGUUUUUUUUUAAUAAAUGGGUCAUUUUGAACCAAUGCUCCAAAUUAAAUUUAAACCUAUGAGCCCAUCCCGAACACUUCAUACGAAAAUGGAUUAACUCAUUGAAAGACUUGCAAGAAUGUUGAACAUUUUGCCUUCUCAGAUCAUCAGCAGCAGACAAGCAAUUAAUACUGAAAAAUGACUGAAAAUGAAUUAAUUUACUCGGUUGUGGGAUUACCUUUUUACUUUUAUUUAUUCUAAUUACCUUUACGAUCUCUUUUGCUAUCCUACCACCUCCACUAUUAAUCGAUCUUGUUUACUUUAAUUAUAAUUUAUGAAUAUAAAUAUGCUAAUUUUAUAAUUUAAAAUAAGUUUUAAAUUAACUUUAUUAAACAGCCUUAACGUCAAUUAAAAUUUUAAUUUUGUUAGAUUUCAGUUUUGAACAAAAAAAAUCUAUCAAUUUACUGUAACAUAGCCUUAGAAGCAUUUAUCAUCAAGGCAAUGAUCCAAUAGUAAGAGGGGAUCUGAACUAUCAGGUACAUGCCAUGUACUGCUUGUUUCUAAUUUUGAAAAAAUAGGGGUAAACAAAAGCAAAACACCAAACAUGUUCUCUCCAAAACAAUAAAGCUAGGCUCAAAAAGCAUUAAGAGAAUCAUAAAUCAGAAGAUUUGCAGCAUCAACAUACUUUCCUAGUUGAUUUUGAAUCCCCUGUUUUAGUUGGUCCCAGCAUUUCGUGUAGUAAACCUGAAGUAUGAAUCCACCAAUAGUAUAUGAGCAAAGAGGAAGAAAAAAACCAAAAUUAAUAUGUCAAAUUCAACAUCUACUGAUCAAACAAAUGUUCAAUGAGUUCUUAAAAUGAGUUUUCUAUCAUCCCACCAUCAAUACCUUAUCCAACUUCUUGAGUUGGUUGCACAGGCUCUUUUCUCUAAUAUAUGUUUAUCAUACAUUUUCCAAGUGAUCAAUCUUCAAAUAUUUUACUACAACACAAAAGAAGGGUGGGAAGUUUGACCAACAACCUUUUGAACCUUCACCUCAUCUUUUCAAAGCACUGAAGCAGCAUAAUCCGCUUCAUUGGGAUUUCACUAAAUUUUCAGCAGUUUAAUCUUCUUAGUCAAAUCUCUGUUUUGCCCACUGUUGAGCUAGUCCCUAGCACUAUACUGUAAUGCAAUCAUUCUAAAAUUAUGAACUUGUGGCAUGCAGUAUCCACAUAAGUGCCAUCUCCAGAUCCCUACUCCCUACCAUCUUGAAAUCCAAUAACGUUCCAUUGUUUCAAUUGAUUGGCAACUUAAAGCAAAAUGACCACCAAUAGUAAACACAAAUCAUUUUUCAAAAGCAUAUGAUUCGAUGUGUGGGACCUUCUCCACUCAAGGUUCAGAAUUUCUCUGGGAAAAUAAAAGCAAUGAAACUUACAAUUUUAAGAAGAAACCAAAUUUCGGCGGUAUUAAGUUGCUAAAUGGCGUUUCUUUCUUGAAAAUCAAGAAAAAAAAAAUCCAAAUUUCAGGUAGGUCAAAAAAACUUUAAGUCAACAUUCAGUACACCAACGCCGUUUCCCGUUACUGGAAACGCACAAAUUUUUCUCAGGAUUUUCAAUAACCCCCUACUCUCAAAAACAUUCUUCCACGCACAGAUUUCGAAAAUGCCAUAUGUGUUGAUGUCUCACGUCUUUGAGGAUCCACGUAGUUGACAGAUGGAUGGACGCGUGAUCUCAACCCAUAAAGGUUCUUGAUCCAGCCGUUAUACCUGCAAGAAGGCAUCCGGACAGGGUGUCCGGACGCACCCUCCGAUGGUUUUGUUAGCCAUGGUGAGAGAGAGGAAUAUAAAUCAGUUGGCCUUUUACCAGGUAUUAAAAAGUUACCAGGAGGAUCCCCCUCUUCUUCGUGCGAAUGCAUAUAUAUACAGCUUCAGGGUACUGUUCCUUUCAUUAAUGGUGAGGAAAUAUUUUAUGAUGGGAUGUGGGCCAUAGCUGGCUGUCGUGAUAGCGUGUAAGACUUGCUUUACUUUGAUUGAUGAUCCGGACGAUUAUAUCCGGGUGGCACAUGCUUAUUGCCCGGAUGUAUUGUGGGGCGAAUCCAUUAUGAAGGUUGUCCGGAUGUCUGUGCUUUGCCAGCGACGUUUGCUCUCCCUUGGAUAUGAGAAGUUGAAACGUCUUUUGCCUUUCCUUGAGGUGAUCCGGAUAGGAGAACUGCCUCAUGCAUAUCUUUAGGGGAAUCCGGAUGGUGGUGGUUCGGAUGAUGAUGCGUGCCACGUGUCACUGUGAGGUGCGUGCCACGUGUUUUCCAGAGGGAGGGGUCCCUACAAUAUGCCCGCAACCUUUUCAAAAUUUUCACCUCAAAAGCAAAUAAGAAACUCAUUUGUCCACAAAAUAUGAUUUCUAGAAAGAAAAAAAAAAAAAAAAAAAGCUUUUCUUCAUCAUUUCCCUAUCUUUUCGUCCGUUUUCUUAGCAAAGAAGUACAGACAACACAAGUACAACAAACCAAAAUCCAAACAAAAAAAGUCAAAUAAACUUACGAUCGCGGUUGAUUUGACGAAAGUUCUUGUACUCUCCGGCAUUUGACGAAAAAUCAAAGUCCGACAUCGACAUCGCGGAUCCAAAAGAACGAAGAUCAGAGAGCCAAAUGCAGAAGAGAAAAGGCGAGAAAGUUAGAGGGGAGAGUGUCUUCUAGAGAGAGAGUUUUCUGGAGCAAGAAAGGAGGAGAGAUAUGAUCGGAGGAAAGGUCGUUAUGGUUGUGGUGGGAACGUUCUUCUCGAUGAAUAUUUUUAUUUUUUGAAUGUAAAAUAGAACGGGAAUGUCGCAUCCGAAACACCAAAUGCGUCGUCGUUUUGUCUCUUUAAAUGCUUGAAAUUACGGUUCCAUCCUUUCUUGUUUUUAUCUCAUACGGCC
Molecule: long non-coding RNA, 7172 nt
Filed under: Vitis vinifera (wine grape)
Lineage: Eukaryota; Viridiplantae; Streptophyta; Magnoliopsida; Vitales; Vitaceae
Description: long non-coding RNA (VVIN_LNC005170)
Source: RNAcentral